UGAGUUUGAUUAUGGCUCAGAUUGAACGCUGGCGGCAUGCUUAGCACAUGCAAGUCGAACGCGAAAGGGUUUCGGCCUGAGUAGAGUGGCGGACGGGUGAGUAAUGCAUGAGAAUCUGCCUGGCAGAGGGGGAUAACCCGGGGAAACUCGGGCUAAUACCGCAUACGCCCUACGGGGGAAAGGGGGCUGAGAGGCUCUCGUUGUCAGAUGAGCUCAUGUCCGAUUAGCUAGUUGGUGGGGUAAGGGCCNNNNAAGGCGACGAUCGGUAGCUGGUCUGAGAGGAUGGCCAGCCACACUGGGACUGAGACACGGCCCAGACUCCUACGGGAGGCAGCAGUGGGGAAUAUUGGACAAUGGGCGCAAGCCUGAUCCAGCGAUGCCGCGUGGGUGAAGACGGCCUGCGGGUUGUAAAGCCCUUUCGAUGGGGAAGAAAGGCCGGCGGUGAAGAGCUGCGGGUGUUGACGUUACCCAUAGAAGAAGCACCG
Molecule: ribosomal RNA, 485 nt
Filed under: uncultured Gammaproteobacteria bacterium
Lineage: Bacteria; Pseudomonadati; Pseudomonadota; Gammaproteobacteria
Description: bacterial SSU rRNA
Rfam family: Bacterial small subunit ribosomal RNA
Source: RNAcentral